This is a long non-coding RNA of Mytilus trossulus (common blue mussel), 204 nucleotides long. RefSeq lists it as uncharacterized. The transcript is spliced from 3 exons. NCBI's taxonomy places the organism in Eukaryota, Metazoa, Mollusca, Bivalvia, Mytilida, Mytilidae. The record is from RefSeq and is a predicted model, not a curated record.
AUUUGUUGUCUUUCCCUGCUUGACAACAGUGUAUUUUCGAUAUUUAACAGGAAAGAUAAAGAUGUUACUUGAGAAAGCAUUGUGGAUUUUAGCAUUCACUUUUGUGUCACUAACCAGUGAAGUGUAUGGUUUAGAAUGGCCAUGGAAUUGGACAAAAGAAGAUGUCACAUGCUACAGCACUUGUUUGGCAGCAGUUGGUACAGG